GGUAGCGCGGAUGCGAUCCCAUGGCCAUGGCCACGCGUGCGUACUGGCUGAUGGGUCUCUUGUACCCCACGGCCGACGUGGGCCUCUUCUUCAUCUGGCUGCUGCUUCUGAAAAGGAAACCAGGCGAGGAGGGUCCCUCACACAGCACCAACGCUGCCAGAACCGCGCCGGGCACGGCCCCGAGCGCAGGACGGACCCCAGCGGGCGGAGGGGAGGCUCCCACCCGCGGCGCCUCCGUCGUGUCCCCGUGUCCCCGACCCACAGAGGUGGCACCGCCGGGCCCAGCUCACCCCCGCUCCUCGCCCCAGCUGGCGGGGAGCCGCACGCACCCGCCGGCCGGCACCAGCGGCUGGAAUUUCCACUGGUCCUCCUCGCAGUCGAAGUAGAGGCGGUUGACGAUUUUGUUCUUCUCCUCCGGAGGGAUGAAGUUCUCGAUGAUCAGGUACCUGCGAGAGGCACAGAGGGGGGAGAGGCAGGGGGAGAAGGAGAGGAAGGGGUUAGGGGGACAGGAGGGAGAGCAGAGAUGGGGAGCAAGGGGGAGCAGGGCAGGGGAGGACACGGGGAGCACGGGGGGGCAGAGAGGGUCCGCCAGGGUGGGAUCCAGCAGGGGUGGGCGAGGCAGGAGAGAAAGGGCAGAGGAAGACUGUCAUUCAGAGAGGAGCGGAGGAAACAUCGUCAGCUCUGCGCGCUGCAUCGGGGCCAAAACCCCACCGCCUGCUCCCCUGCGGGUCCCCGGGCAGGGUCUGCAAUGCGCGGUCUGCAACGUGCAGUUUGCAAUGUGCAAUUUGCAAUGUGCAGUUUGCAAUGCACCAUUUGCAAUGCAGCCCGUGAUGUGCAGUUUGCAGCAUGCAAUUUGCAAUGUGCAGUUUGCAAUGUGCAGUUUGCAAUGCAGCCCGCGAUGCGCAGUUUGCAACGUGCAGUUUGCAAUGCAUCAUUUGCAAUGCAGCCCGUGAUGUGCAGUUUGCAGUGUGCAAUUUGCAACGCACGGUUUACAAGGAAGCCUGCAAUGUGCAGUUGGCAGCACAGGGUUUGCAAGGCAGCCUGCAACGUGCAGGUUGCGAUGCAGGUUGGGAUGCACGGUUUGCAACGUGCAGCCUGCAACGCACGAUUUGCAACGCCCACGUUGAGUGCAGUCUGCAACGUUCAACUUGCAACACACAGUUUGCAACACACAGUUUGCAAAGCAGCCUGCAACGUGCAAUUUGCAACGUGCAAUUUGCAAUGUGCAAUUUGCACCGUGCAAUUUGCACCAUGCAGCUUGCAGUGCACAAUUUGCAAAGCAGCCUGCACCGUGCAGUUUGCAACCUGCAGUCUGCAGCGCAGCCCCCACUGCUGAGCCCCUGCAGCUCCCUGAUGCACCAGGAACCCCCCCGGGGGCUCCCCAAAUCCACCCAGGAGCCAGCUGCUCCCCCCCCAGCCCCUCUUUCCCCCCCUCAGGCCCUCUCGCAGCCCUCGCUGCCCCCCUGCACCCCCCAGGUCGGGAUUCCAGCCCCCUGCCGGCGUCCCGCCAGCCCCGCUAAGAGCAUUUCCUCUCAGCCCCGGAUUAUUCUUGUCGCUUUUUUUUUUUUUUUUUUUUUUUUUUUUUUUUAAAGCCUUAAUUCAUUCUGAAAAUCCCUUCGGAGGAUGGGAAGCCGAAGCGGCCAGGCUGUCGCAGCAGCGAAGCUUCCCCAGGCGAGAU
This 1678-nucleotide long non-coding RNA is filed under the name Anas platyrhynchos platyrhynchos (common mallard). Its description in RNAcentral is "lncRNA (ENSAPLG00000019930.1)". Lineage: Eukaryota; Metazoa; Chordata; Aves; Anseriformes; Anatidae. The record is from RNAcentral.